UUUUAAUAGUUUAAUAAAAACAUUGGUCUUGUAAAUCAAAAAUAAAAUUACUUUUUUUAAAACU
RNAcentral lists this transfer RNA (64 nucleotides) under Drosophila nigra. RNAcentral describes it as "tRNA-Thr". Lineage: Eukaryota; Metazoa; Arthropoda; Insecta; Diptera; Drosophilidae. The record is from RNAcentral. RNAcentral also lists the same sequence under 1 other name.